CCUGCCUGAGGGCUGUCAGAGGAAGCCAGCUAUAACAGAAGGCUUAAAGAAGAUGGACAGUCUCGUAACAUAAUACCAAAAAUGUCCAGGUUUCCAUCAAAAAUCAUCCAAGAACCAAGAAAAUGCAAUCCAGAUUUUAAAAAAAAGGACUUGGUAGAUGCCAACCCUGAGAUGACAAAGAUGUCACAAUGACCUAACAAAGAUUCAAAGGCAGCCUUCAUAAAAACACUUCAGGGAGCAAUUAUGAACAUGCUUGAAACAAAUGAAAAUAUAGGAAGUCUCGGCGAAGAAAUAGAAGCUAUAAAGAAGAAUAAAAUGGAAAUUCUAGAACUGAAAAGUACAAUAACCAAAAUAAAAAACUCAGCAGAUGGGCUCAACGGCAGAAUGGAGGGGAGAGAGGAAAGAAUCAGUGAACUGGAAAACAGAACAAGAGAAAUUAUGCAAUCUGAAUAACAGAGAGAAAACAGGCUGGACAAAAGAUGAGCAGAGCCUGAGGGACCUGUGGGACUGUCACAAAAUAUCUAAAGGAAGCUCUAAUAGUCUCAGAAGGGGGCUGGGAGGCUGAAAAAGUACUCAAGAAAAUAAUGACUAAAAACUUCCUAAAUCUGGCAAAAGACAGAAAUCUACAGAUUCAAGAAGUUGAGCAAACUCCAAACAGGAUAAAGCCAAAGAAAUCUACAACAAGAUACACCAUAUUCGAACUUCUGAAAAUGAAAGGCAAAGAAGGGAUGUUGAAGGCAGUGAGAGAGACGCCAUCUUCCCUGAAGAGGAAAAGCGAUUCAAAUGACAGCAGAUUUCCAUAGAGGCCAGAAAGAAUUGGUGCAACACUUUUUCUCUUGCUGAAGGAAAAAUCUGCCAACCCCAUCCAGGAACGAAGGGAAAAUCAACUCUCAGUUACAGGACAGUCCUGAGUGAGGCCACUUUGGAUGAGGUGGCCUCGGACCAACCCUGUGGCAGAGAGUAGACAUCACAUGGAGUGUGGGGAGCGAGGAAGUAAGUGGAGGAACUCUGGGGUCAGCAGGGAGAAGACAUGGACGCAGAGAUCGCCAGGUCACCUGGAGCCAGACAACUCACCUGCAGGCCGGGGGAGAGUUUGUGACCAUCCUCUGUCAACUGUCAACUUGAGAAGGUCAAUGCAGGGAACGACACUUUUCCUUCUUACUAGAACUGGUGUGCGUGCACACGUGCGUGCAUGCACACCCAGGCAUCUGCAGGCAGACCGUGGUAGGUGGGAUGCCAGCCCCACCACUAGCCAUCUGUGGUGCUGGGCUGGUUCCCAACCCUUCAAAACCUCAGUCUUCAUCAGUAAAGUGGCAAUAAGAAGAGUACCGUGGCGACGGUUGGGUGAGAUGGAGCAGUUAAGGCGCCCGGGAGCCGAGAAGACAGGAGAGAGGGAGGCUUGUGCGCAUCUUACGUUUUCUUCCACAUCCUGAGACACGACCCGCCUCUGACAACCCCCACUGUGUUCACUGUUCACCAUCUCCCCAGAUGGCUUUACUCCUCUUUGCUCCUUGUGACGAACUAUUGUGUGGGACAUUCUGCAAGGAAAAAUGUGCAAAGGAACUCCUAGCCACCAACCUCAGAGCAACAACAUUUCAAUAUUAAAUAUUAAGGCACCAAUAUGCUGGUCAAAGACAAAAACUUGUAGCUGUGAGAUAAAUAAGUCCUGGGGACGUCCCGUACAGCCUGGG
Equus caballus (horse) is the source of this 1691-nucleotide long non-coding RNA. The record is from Ensembl. Lineage: Eukaryota; Metazoa; Chordata; Mammalia; Perissodactyla; Equidae.